AUACCUGCCUUCCAUCACAAAUCAUAUAAAUCUUUCAUCUUUUACUAAAGAUUUCCAUAGAGAGGAACAUUUAUGAGUUUCUACCCAAUUUUUUGAGGCUUCACCACUCUCCUCUAGCC
Non-coding RNA from Chelonia mydas (Green sea turtle), 119 nucleotides. NCBI's taxonomy places the organism in Eukaryota, Metazoa, Chordata, Testudines, Cheloniidae. The record is from Rfam.